GCGGAGGAAAAGAAACCAACAGGGAUUGCCCUAGUAACGGCGAGUGAAGCGGCAACAGCUCAAAUUUGAAAUCUGGCGUCUUCGGCGUCCGAGUUGUAAUUUGCAGAGGGCGCUUUGGCAUUGGCAGCGGUCCAAGUUCCUUGGAACAGGACGUCACAGAGGGUGAGAAUCCCGUACGUGGUCGCUAGCCUUUACCGUGUAAAGCCCCUUCGACGAGUCGAGUUGUUUGGGAAUGCAGCUCUAAAUGGGAGGUAAAUUUCUUCUAAAGCUAAAUACUGGCCAGAGACCGAUAGCGCACAAGUAGAGUGAUCGAAAGAUGAAAAGCACUUUGGAAAGAGAGUUAAAAAGCACGUGAAAUUGUUGAAAGGGAAGCGCUUGCAGCCAGACUUGCCUGUAGUUGCUCAUCCGGGUUUCUACCCGGUGCACUCUUCUAUAGGCAGGCCAGCAUCAGUUUGGGCGGUUGGAUAAAGGUCUCUGUCAUGUACCUCCUCUCGGGGAGAACUUAUAGGGGAGACGACAUGCAACCAGCCCGGACUGAGGUCCGCGCAUCUGCUAGGAUGCUGGCGUAAUGGCUGUAAGCGGCCCGUCUUGAAACACGGACCAAGGAGUCUAACAUCUAUGCGAGUGUUUGGGUGUCAAGCCCGAGCGCGUAAUGAAAGUGAACGGAGGUGGGAACCUUUCGGGGUGCACCAUCGACCGAUCCUGAUGUCUUCGGAUGGAUUUGAGUAAGAGCAUAGCUGUUGGGACCCGAAAGAUGGUGAACUAUGCUUGAAUAGGGUGAAGCCAGAGGAAACUCUGGUGGAGGCUCGCAGCGGUUCUGACGUGCAAAUCGAUCGUCAAAUUUGGGCAU
RNAcentral lists this small RNA (850 nucleotides) under Nothophoma macrospora. RNAcentral's name for it is "eukaryotic LSU rRNA". It matches the Rfam family "Eukaryotic large subunit ribosomal RNA", at positions 50 to 918 of the family's 3401-position model. The record is from RNAcentral. Lineage: Eukaryota; Fungi; Ascomycota; Dothideomycetes; Pleosporales; Didymellaceae.